Long non-coding RNA from Piliocolobus tephrosceles (Ugandan red Colobus), 1158 nucleotides. The record is from Ensembl. Lineage: Eukaryota; Metazoa; Chordata; Mammalia; Primates; Cercopithecidae.
AUGUGGUGCUCCCUGUUUUCAUGUAAAAGUAAAUAUUAUUAUAAAAAUUUAAAUUUGCCUUUAAUACAGGAUGAAAAAUUUGAAAAUGUUUUUAAUAGCAACAAAAAAAAUGACUUACAGAUUUUGUUUGAAAAUGCAAUUAACAAAAUAAUAUAUGAAACAAAAGAAAGUUAUGAUUAUAAUUCUGAUUUUGAAAAAAUCGAAAAAAUUGAAAAUGUAAAAAAAGGAAAAAAAUUCCAUUCUGAUGAUGAUAUAGAUGACAUAGAUAUAAUCCUAAAAAAGGGAAACUGUAAAAAUAUGUUUUUAAACAAUGAAAAAGAAAAUAAUAGAAAAUACAAUAUUAAAAUACCGACUUCAACUAAUAAACAUAGAAUUUAUUCCAUGAAUGAAAGUUAUAACAAUAAUGUUAAUAAAUAUACAAAAAGUAUUGCAAAAGAUCAUGAUAAAAAUAGUACCAAAACAAAUGUUGAAUAUGAUAAUAUUUUAAAUAGUGAAAUCGCGCAAAAAAUUAAAAAUGUAAUACAUGAAAAUCUAAAUAAAUGGUUUGAUAAUUUUUUUAAAAACACUAACAUGGAAAAAAAUCCACGUCAAGUCAUUAAUGAUGAACAAAAAUAUAUACAUAUUUUAAGCAACAAAAUAGAAAAUUUCUCUACAGAUAUUUCAAAGGAAAUUUUAAAUAAUAAUAAUAAUAAUCUUGAUGCCUUAUUUCAAUACAAUGAUAACAUUGCACAUUCUCCCAAUGUACCAAAAAACUAUAACAACAACAGCCAAGACUUUAUUAAUAAUUGUCAAAAUAAUCAACAUGAGAACUCAAAAAAAUUAAAAAAUUCUGUUUUUAUAAGUCAACUUAAUACAUCUAAUAAUGUAAAUAACAGUGAAAAACUUAUAAAAAAAAUAAAAAUACCUAUCUACCAGCAAACGCCGAAUGAUUCGAUAGACAUUCAUAACAACAGUUAUCAACGUGAUACAUCAACAGGGGCUCCUCGUAAAAGAACGUAUAAAAAAUAUGUGAGCAAAGCAAAAAAUAAAGCUUUCAAAAAUGAUCCAAAAGAUGUUAAUUCCAAAAUUAUUUUAAAUGAAAAUACAAAUGAAGUUUUCACUUUUGACCAUUUUCAGAAAAAUUCAAAUAAUAACAUUUUAAAAAAAUUUCAUUUUUAA